GUGGUGCUGGUGGAGGUGGAGAAGAGGAGAUGUGUUAUCUACGGUGGUGGUGGUGGUGGUGGUGGAGGUGGAGAAGAGGAGAUGUGUUAUCUGUGGUGGUGGUGGUGGUGGAGGUGGUGGUGGUGGUGGAGGUGGAGAAGAGGAGAUGUGUUAUCUGUGGUGGUGGUGGAGGUGGUGGUAGUGGUGGAGGUGGAGAAGAGGAGAUGUGUUAUCUGUGGUGGUGGUGGUGGUAGUGGUGGUGGUGGAGGUGGAGAAGAGGAGAUGUGUUAUCUGUGGUGGUGGUGGAGGUGGUGGUAGUGGUGGUGGUGGAGGUGGAGAAGAGGAGAUGUGUUAUCUGUGGUGGUGGUGGUGGAGGUG
Oncorhynchus tshawytscha (Chinook salmon) is the source of this 357-nucleotide long non-coding RNA. Lineage: Eukaryota; Metazoa; Chordata; Actinopteri; Salmoniformes; Salmonidae. The record is from Ensembl.